Molecule: long non-coding RNA, 2240 nt
Filed under: Macaca mulatta (Rhesus monkey)
Lineage: Eukaryota; Metazoa; Chordata; Mammalia; Primates; Cercopithecidae
Description: lncRNA (ENSMMUG00000056306.1)
Source: RNAcentral
AGUUUGCUGAAGAGAUGGAGCUGGAUGCUGUGGGAGGCCUGACUCAGGCAGGGUGGGGAGUGGGGGUCUUGGGACCUGCAUCUGGUUUGGAGAGGGGAGUUGUCCUGGGGUUAAGAGCAUGGAUUGUGGAAGCGACUCUGGCUGAAAUCCUGUCUCUUCCGUGUCCUGGAUGCACAGCCUCAGCUAAGUCUCCCUCCUUAACCUCUCAGAGCCUUGUUUCCUCUUUGACUGACUGGGGCCCUCACUAGUGCCCUCCCCUUGGGUGUCAUGGGGGUCCUGCGUGCUGUCCCGUGUGGAGCUCUCUGGACAGCAUGGAGCACAGGGUGUCCGCAGCACCUCCCUAAGGGGUUGUAAGAUUGGAGCCGUGAGCGAGUGCCUCGACUUCCCUUCUCAUUCCAGCACUCCAUGACUCUGAGCAGAGAAAGCUCAGUGGAAGGUGUGGGAGCUGAGCUUGAUGAGUGGGCGCAGGGAGGCAGGGGCGCAGGGAGGCAGGGAGGCUGAGGAAGGCCCUUGGACAGAUGAAGGCUGGUGAGGCCAAGGUGGGAGCCUUUGGGGAUGGAGUGAGGUCGAACUGAGGUGAAAGGGCACUCAGAGGCGCUCCCAGCAGUUUCUGCAUAAAGUAGGAUGAUUUGAGUGCCUGGGCUGCUUGGCUGGGGUCAUCAGGAGCAACUCUUCUGCACGGCCUCCACGUCUGUCUACGCUGUGUCACUUGCGGAAGCGUGGGCUAUGGCUUCUGGCCAUAGAUGACGGAAGAGAGCAUGGUAGUCUUGCCCGGCUCUCCCUGGAUAGUGGGCGAGUGCCCAAGACAUCCUCAGAACGCGUGGGCUGGCCCUACCUCAGAGGGGACUGGUUCUCAUUACCAGGUAAUUUUGUAAAGGCGAACGGGCAUGGAGAUUCAAUGGGCUGCACUCAACUCUGGGGAAACUGCUCCCUGAUUUCCCAGUGUUGUUAGGGAGGGAGGGAACAAAAGUUCAAGGAGGACGGCAACUUCAACCUUGCUGAGGAGCCAUUUAGCAGCAGGGCCUGUUUCUGACUUCCAGCUCUGAGGUGGGUCUAUCAAAGUCAUUCCAAAACCCUCCAUUCUUAGAACCUAUCUCCUUUGCAGCCCCUCCCUGUGGCCAGCAGAGAAACUCUGUGGCUUUGCUGGAGAAGGCUUGUCUCUUUCCCGAGCUUGCAGCGUCUGUUUGCCCUCCACCACCGCCUGGGAGGGUGCGCUUAGCAACACUGCACCUAUUUCCGUCCGAGUAGGCACGGAUGCAGAUCAGUCAUUUUUAAGCUCCGUUAGUCACUUCUCUUCCUGCGCCCACUCAGCUCCACACUCCCACGGGCACAAACUCCUUUAUAGUGAGAUGUUCUUUCUUUAAAUUUCACUUCAAUUAAUCCCCAAGAGUUCAAGAUGUUUAGAAGUGCGGGAGGUGUAUAGUUUUUCCAGAAAAUGCUAAAAUUCAAAAAUUAUCACCAUUCACUAAUUUGCUUUUUAAUAGUAGGUGUGCUUGCACCAAAAUACUCAAUGCAGCUUAGAAUGCAGAUAGACCAAAGGGCUGGCACACCCUCCUGCCAGCCAUGUACUCCACGGGUUCUGGUGGGAGAAGUAAGAGAACCUUGAGGCGUGGCGUCUCUUACUUCCUCUACCAAUUGACAAAUCUGCUGAGGCCCUGGCUUGGCAAAAGCACCUGGAAUAUGAGAAAUGUGAGAAUAAGACGCAGCCUCAUGCCAACGCCUGCCCGAGUUGUUCUUCUGUGUUAGGAGCCCAGCAAUGGUGCUGGUGCAUCUGUGGGUUCCACCUCCUGGAACUGCCUUGAGUUUUGGCUUUAAAAGUCCAGAGAACUUAAGCUCCUUGCUCUGAAAGGCCCUAAAUGGAAGGGUUGGGCCGCACUACCUCCUUCAUUCCCAAUCUUGUUUAUGAAUGAAAAUGCCAAAAAAGAUUUCCUUUAUGUUAGAAUUUAAGAGGAUAGGCCAGGUGCGGUGGCUCAUGCCUGUAAUCCCAGCACUUUAGGAGGCCAAGGCAGGCAGAUCACAAGGUCAGGAGUUCAAGGCCAUCCUGGCCAACAUGGUGAAACCUCGUCUCUACUAAAAAUACAAAAAUUAGCAGGGAUGGUGGUGGGCGCCUGUCAUCCCAGCUACUCAGGAGGCUGAGACAGGAGAACCGCUUGAACCUGGGAGGUAGAGGUUGCAGUGAGUCGAGAUGGCACCACUGCACUCCAUCCAGCAAGACUCUGUCUCAAAACAAAAAAAAAAAA